UACGGGGGGUGCAAACGUUGCUCGGAAUCAUUGGGCGUAAAGCGCACGUAGGCGGUCCCUCAAGUCGGGUGUGAAAGCCCUCGGCUUAACCGAGGAAGUGCAUUCGAAACUAGGGGACUUGAGUACUGGAGAGGAUGGCGGAAUUCCCGGUGUAGAGGUGAAAUUCGUAGAUAUCGGGAGGAACACCAGCGGCGAAGGCGGCCAUCUGGACAGAUACUGACGCUGAGGUGCAAAAGCGUGGGGAGCAAACAGG
RNAcentral lists this ribosomal RNA (253 nucleotides) under uncultured bacterium. Its description in RNAcentral is "partial 16S ribosomal RNA". It matches the Rfam family "Bacterial small subunit ribosomal RNA", at positions 524 to 776 of the family's 1533-position model. The record is from RNAcentral.